UGGGGAAUAUUGGACAAUGGGCGCAAGCCUGAUCCAGCCAUGCCGCGUGUGUGAAGAAGGCCUUUUGGUUGUAAAGCACUUUAAGCGAGGAGGAGGCUACUUGGAUUAAUACUCUAAGAUAGUGGACGUUACUCGCAGAAUAAGCACCGGCUAACUCUGUGCCAGCAGCCGCGGUAAUACAGAGGGUGCGAGCGUUAAUCGGAUUUACUGGGCGUAAAGCGUGCGUAGGCGGCUUCUUAGUCGGAUGUGAAAUCCCUGAGCUUAACUUAGGAAUUGCAUUCGAUACUGGGAAGCUAGAGUAUGGGAGAGGAUGGUAGAAUUCCAGGUGUAGCGGUGAAAUGCGUAGAGAUCUGGAGGAAUACCGAUGGCGAAGGCAGCCAUCUGGCCUAAUACUGACGCUGAGGUACGAAAGCAUGGGGAGCAAACAGG
RNAcentral lists this ribosomal RNA (429 nucleotides) under Bacillota bacterium. RNAcentral describes it as "Firmicutes bacterium partial 16S ribosomal RNA". It matches the Rfam family "Bacterial small subunit ribosomal RNA", at positions 355 to 776 of the family's 1533-position model. The record is from RNAcentral. Lineage: Bacteria; Bacillati; Bacillota.